Molecule: long non-coding RNA, 2096 nt
Organism: Chinchilla lanigera (long-tailed chinchilla)
Lineage: Eukaryota; Metazoa; Chordata; Mammalia; Rodentia; Chinchillidae
Exons: 6
Source: RefSeq, a predicted model, not a curated record
UUGGGUUUCUGCCAGCCUCCGCCCCAGCCCAGCCCUCUAGAGUUCUCUGCACUGCCCAACCCCUGCCGCAUUCCUCACCCAGUGCAGCCGCCAGGGCCUGGGCUGAGAGGAAGAUGAUUUGGACAAACACUUCUCCCCCUGUAAUUCACAUAAACUGCCCUGCAGGGUCAGGGUAAGGGCGGUGUGGACCUCAAAAAGUUGAUGGAGCCAGGGAGACAGUUCAGCAGCACAGCGCCUGCCUAGCAAGUACAAGGAAACUCAAGAAGAAAUCAUCUCUGGUCAGCUCCACUGGAAUCUGUAUUUAGUCAGUUGAUCAUCAUUUUCUCACCAGAGGGUCAUCCAGGACUAUUCUGUGGUCAGCAAUCAAGAAAUGCAUCUCUUGAAGGAUUCCGUGUGCUCCUUAAUGCCAGUGAAAGCAUGAACAACAGGACUGGAAGAUGAUCAUACUGAUUUGUUGGAUUAAUUCAUAAAUGACUCGUCAAGACAAGAAGGAUGAUUUGACUGUAUAGAAGUGAUGACCGGAUUUAAAGGAAUUGUGAUAAUUCCCUGGUUUUGAUAUUGCCUUAUAGUCAGGUCUCAAAAUUAUUGCCUUGUCUCCUGAAGAAAGAAAGCACUUCCUCAGCAAGCACAACUGUAAUACCCAUGAGCAGGCGCCGGAAGACCACUUUGACAGCUUCAGGCAGUCCAGGUGUUGUUGCCAAAGACCUGGACACUCAGUGACCCAGAGUUGGUUUCUUCACCUUCACCAACCCAGAGCAGACCCCAGGUCAGUGUCUCUGCAGGGCUCAAUCGGGCCUGCUGCUCCAGGUCUCACAAGACUGAAGUCUCAAGCAACCAGUGCAGUUCUCAUCUGAGGUCAGGAUCUUCUCCCAAGCUCACUGGCUGUUGACAGAACUCAUUUCUCUGUGUGGCUAAUUUGCCAGCCAGCGGUCCCUGCCAGCUCCUGGGGCCUGCCCUUCACGCCUAGAUCCUGUCAGGUCUUUGCCAUUUUUCUCACUUCAUCCUCAAAGUCAGCCACAGGCAAUCACUCUCAGGUUGAAUCUCCAGGAAGAGUUCAGUCCCUGCACUGGGGCUCCCAUUCAUUCCCACCUGGUGUCAUCCGUGAGAAGAUAGAAAACUUGCUUUGGCCAAGUGCAGCUGUUGGGUGGAUGUUGAGAUCAGUCAGCCCGGAGGAAAGAGAACGUGAGCUUGGUCUGCUCUCCCGGCCACCCAGAGCUGCAGGACUUCUUCCUUACUCCUUGCUGGUGCCGCAGGGAGACAGAAGCACCUGCCUGGAAUGUCUCCUGAUGCUGGGGAUAAAUGUGCCUGCGUCACAGUCUUCCUCUAGGUGACAGAAGACAUGGGCCUGAGUGUAGCUUUGUGGGAGACGGGGAGCAGGGCUCCAUAACUGCAAUAGGGAUGGCACGUUCCCACCUGCAGCUCCUUUAUUCUCUCCUCCUCUUUCAUUUUAUCUAUCAGUGUUAUAUCUUUGGAAUAGAGGGGUUUAUCAGAUGUUAAAGUUCCAGACUCAUUUUGAUCAGAAAUUCUCUAUAUUCAUCCCCAUAUAAUUUGUUCCAGGAGUGAGGAUUUGUCUUUUAUUGUGAUAUUAUUUCCAUUAGGGUUUUUUCCCCUUAUGGGAUUCCUGUGUGCCCUUGGUUACAAAAAUAUACAGGCCAGCAGCUCUCUUUGUUGUUUAAAAGUCCCCAGGUAUUUCAUGGUCCUAGACCAGUUAUUAAGUCAAUUUCUUACUUUGGUAUCAUUGAAGGAGUAGGAAGCCAAGUUCUUAUAAUGUCCUUUCCUUAACAGGACAAAUAUUUUCAUUACUGAGUAAGACAGAGUGAAACCACAGAAAUGUUUAAAACUUUGCUUACAUAUCUAUGAUGUGAGGAAUUUCUCUGAAUUAGAUAAGAGUUUUCAAAUAUUGGAAGAAUAUUUUCAUGUAUUUUGUACUAUUCACAAUGUAGUCCCUUUUACAUUUAAUUUAUAAACUUCAGACAGUGAGUCUACCACCCAUUUUGUGAAUAAAACUUUUAGAACACAGGUAUGUUCUAUUUACAUAUUGUACAUGGCAGCUGUCGUUCAACAAUAGCAGAAAUAAAUAGUUGUGACAGACCGCA